GCUGGAGUGGAUCAUGGCGGAGUUGGUCAACCACCCCGACGUCCAAGCCAAGGUGUACGAGGAGGUGAAAUCCAAACCGGAGCUCAACGACGACGACCUCCAGGAAGCGCGGUACUUGAAGGCCGUGGUGAUGGAGGGCCUCCGCCUGCACCCACCGGCGCACUUCGUUCUCCCGCACGGCCUGCAGAGCGACGCGGAGAUCGCCGGCUACACGGUGCCCAAGGGCGCCGAGGUGAACGUCCUGCUUGGAGAGUUCGGCCGCGAUGAGAAGGUGUGGACGGCACCGCUGGAGUUCCGGCCAGAGCGAUUUUUGGACGGCGGCGAGGGGUUCGACGUGGACAUCACGGGGAGCAAGGAGAUCAAGAUGAUGCCUUUCGGUGCCGGGCGACGGAUGUGCCCGGGGUACACGCUGGGGAUGCUGCAGGUGGAGUUCUUCGUGGGGAGCCUCGUGAGGGAGCUGGAGUGGCUGCCACUGGCGGAGGGGGAGGCCGUCGACAUGACGGAGAGGCUGGAUUUCACAGUUGUCAUGAAGCACUCGCUCCGGGCUCGCAUCAUACCGAGGAAUUGAAAUCAUCAACGCCUGUUCUGAAAAAAUCGAAAUAAUCGGAAAAAGGCUCUCAAGUUUGCUGACGUAAUUUUGUUUUAUAGAUGUAUCUCAUGUUUUUGUUCGACGUAAUAAACACGUAUGCAAUGUGCAACUUGAUUUGAACUGAACUUUCAAAAUAUGUCCAUAUACUUAAAUAAGUAAAGAAAUUGUGGGGUUUUCAGGUUUAUUCCUGCAUUGCUAUUGGUACACACGCGUUCAGUGGUACUGCGUGUUUUCCGUGCAAUGAGGGUAGUAGGCUCUCUAGUCUCUUCUUUAGUGUGUGUAUGAACGCGCACGCGUAUGUGCGCGUUGUGGUGUGAGUGUGAUGUGCGUGGUUGUGUGUGUGCUAUGAAUGUACCCUCUCAAAAAAAAUCUACUCCUACCAUUUCAAAAUGUACGUUCAAAUGGAAAGACGUGUAAGGCUGCAAGACGCGUAAGGCGCGUGCCCCGCGUCGCUCCCUGUGACUCGGGCGGCGAGCAACCAAGCCGCGCCGCCACCUCCCCCCGUCUUCCCAGCCUCGCCGUCGCCAGAGCGAGUUAAAGGAAGCCCUCUCGGCUCGCCAGGAUGGCGGCGACGAGGCAAAUCGACCGGAUCUGCGCAUGGGACAGAUGCAACCAUCAUGGCGGCGGCGCAGCCGAGUGAUGCGGCUGGAGUGGAGUGGGGCGAGCGGACCUGCCAUGGCCACGGAGGCCCGACGGGACUGCAUUCCUAGCUCGGGAUGAGUCCUGGCUAGAUUUGGGCCGCGUUGACGACGAUGUGGCAUGCGGGCAUGGCGGCGGCGCAUAUGGGCAAGGAGGAGGACUGCUUCUCUAGGACCCUCACGUCGCUCCUCGCGGGCGACUCGGGCGGCGCCCAAGCAGCCGCGCCACAGCGCCCUACCCCCGCGUCCCUCGGCGAGACUUUCUCUACUUCGUCCCCGAGUUCAGAUGUUGCCGUGGAUUUGCGGCGACACUCUUGGUGAUAAGCCUCCAGCGAUCUAAUCCGGUAUAUUCAAGGCCGAAUCCAGUGACUCCUUCUGGAUCUACACGGGGAUAUGUCGUUCCUACUAGUGCGUGGGUUCGAGCAACCUUGUGCCCGGAUCCUAUGACUAGCACCCUUCCAGUCAGACCUCAUCAGAUGUGCGACGGGGUGGCAGCAUAGUUGGACCUCAUUAGAUGUGCGAUAGGGUGGCAGCAUGGUGGACUUGGCAUAGUGUCAGCCAUGACACGACACACGCAUCUAGGCCUUGCCGCGACCAGCCUCCUACCCUAGCAUGGUGGUUGUGAAUCGCGACAGCGGCGGAUGGCUCUCGAUAAUAACAGAUGCAGUCGCGGGUGUGCGACACCAUCAGCGGCUCGGUGAGGUACCUUUAGUACCUUUUUGCUUAGGUUGUUGUUGGCAUGGUGUGGUGGAGGUCGGGGGGAAAAGACUUGUUGGUGACGCUUGCGAGUGCCACUACCUCCUUAGAGGUAACUUGUUUGCACCUCCGCACAGGGUCAUGUUUUGAUUCUCUAGGUGUGAACCCAGCCCAAUACUCGGGCCGACAAUGAUGGCGCUAUUCGUAUCAUGUUCUUCAUGAAGGUGUUGUCGUGGAGAUCCAUCUGGUGUUUCGGCAUUCUCUAUUUUUGCUCAGCUGCUCGUGGGUGAUCUUUCUACGUUGCUUUGAGGUUACCUUUGGAGAAUAUAUUGGCUACAAUUUAUUAACGUGGCGUGAGGACAUCAGUGAGACCGUCCAUUUAACAAGCAGAGCAAUUGAGGCUUUGGAUUUUCGUCAAGAAUGGAUUGACAUUGCUUAUAACUAUUAUCUUUUUAUGUACUCUUCCGCUUUUAUUUAUUUUUUUUGAUAAUCAGCUAUUGGAACUUGGUUGUGUGCGUUUUUCACAGAGGCCGGGUGUAUUUUCAUUUUCUAAAAAAAUUCAAAAUGUACAUGUUUCAGUUUGCGCCGGGGCCGUACAUUUGGUUUGAUUGAUCCAAUGGUACUGACCCUUGUAAGAUGUAAUCCAAUUUGGUUUGCACUUUGUUUCAGUCGAUAGGUAGAUCAGCAGAAUUAGCAACGUACUCGUCACAGCUGACAACCGGCGGAAUUUAUGGUGCUUCCGUGGCUCGCCGCGCCAGUUGCCGCAUGGCAGCAGGAAGCGACGACGAGCGCGACACCCACACGGGCAAAUAGGGGGUGUUUGGAUACGAGAUGCUAAAUUUUAGAAGGUCAUAUCGGAUAUUUGGAUGCUAAUUUUGGAUGCUAAUUAGGAGGACUAAAUAUGAACUAAUUACAAAACUAAUUGUAGAACCACUGGGCUAAUUCGCGAGAUGAAUCUAUUAAGCUUAAUUAGUCCAUGAUUUGACAAUGUGGUGCUACAGUAACCAUUUGCUAAUGAUGAAUUAAUUAGUCUUAAUAGAUUCGUCUCGCGAAUUAGAUUCUAUAUAUGCAAUUAAUUUUGUAAUUAGACUAUAUUUAAUACUCCUAAUUAGUAUCUAAAUAAAUAUCCGAUGUAACAGGUGCUAAAGUUUAGGAGGGGGAGCCAAACAGGCUCUAAAUGCAGCCCUCAACAAAAGAAGUAGGGGCUCAAGUAACUCGGCCUCCGCUUGGCCCAGCAACACAGCCGCGUCGUUUCAACAGAUCGAAUCGUAGUCGUAGCCUCCGGAUCCGACGGUCCUCUGGAUCCCGGGGUAGACGGUAAAUGAAAUACCGUCCACCCCGACCCUCCCGGCGCGCGCUCUCGCCCUCGCCUCGCCCUCGCGCUUGGCAUCGCCGGCGCCCACGACGUCACAAUACGCUCCCUAAUGCCAUCUCCGUAGCCUCCGACGCCGCCUCCGCCCUUGAACGCGCACCUCCCCCUCACCGCAUUGCGCUCCACGACGGCGGCCGCCGUACGUCGUCCUUCGUGUCCGUGCCCGUGGCCAGCGACACCGGAGACAGCACCGACAGCCCCGCCGCUCGCAUCUCCGCCGCCUGCAGCCCUUCCGGGUCAAUAGACAUGCUUGGCGGAGGUCGAGGGUGCGGCGUUCUUGGAGCGGGCUGGCCGGGAUCUGGCCGCGGCAACACAAUAAGCGAAAACAACUCCUUUUACCAUAAGCGAGCAACUGGUACAUGAGGAAGACGAAGAAAAUUAUAGUAAGAAAGCUACUGAUAAGCGUGGAUGUUCAGUUAAAUAUGCAGUGUUUCUGCACUUCAUUCUCUUUUUCUCCAGCCUCGAGAAUUCAGUGCUUUCAGUUAUCCUUGCAGAGUUGCAGUACUAUAUUCAGUUAAUCAAUGCUUUGCUUCAUUAUUCUCUUCAAUCCUCUCUUUUUUUAUUGAUUCUGUUACUUCCUUGUUUUCAUUCAGUUUUUUUUGAACGGGUUUCUAUUGUAUAUUCGGUUGAAAAAGAUGGUUGCAUCAUCCAAUUUUUCAUUUUUCCGAAAUAUAUGUAACGUGUCAUUACAUUGUUGGACAAGAAAGUGAUUGAAACAAAAUCCACCGGAUGGUAGGUAGACAUUCCCGAGGGAAACUUGGUGUUAUAUGUUCGCCUGACUAAUUUGGCAAACAUGUAUCAUGCUGUUGUUCGCAAUAGUAAAAUCACUGGUAUUUUAAGUACAACUUUCUCAAAUCAAUGUUAUUUCCAUGCGAUCUUUUUUCAAAUCGGUGAUCUAAGAUUGGGCAAUUAGUUAUUUGUAUCGUGUUUUUUUUUUGCUUAAGAUGUCUCGAUGGAGCACGAGGUCUAUAUGUGUUCCUGACAAUGACAAACAAGAGAUUGUGCAAAAUUACAAUGGAGGGAUAUCAACCAUGGACAUAUGACAAAGUAAAAUUGCUGAAACCUGAAAACUGCUCAAUAUGCUACCACCUAGACUACGAAUAAAAUUAAUGUUUAAAAACGAUGAACAAAUUUGUACAUCUAAAUAUAGCAUCGAUGCAGGUGCUCUAAGAACUAUUUCCUAAUUGAAUCUACUUUUAUCUAACAAUCCAUACGCUAAUGACAACGCUACAACUAAUGCAUAGCUAUCUUAUGUUCCUCACUACUAAUAAGACCUCCUUUGGCACGGCUCAGGUCAAAGGGAAUUCGGCUUCGCGCUACAGUAACACGCACUAUUUAGCACCGUGUGUUACUGUAGCAUGCAAUCAGAAUAGAUAUCAAGGCCUCAAAAUAAACUGAGAAGGAGGUGAAGCCUAAAAAUGUGGCUUCCCAUGACUUCGGCUCUGUCUGCUACAGUUGCAAAGGCAAAACCCCCGAGCCAUACCAAAUGAGCCCUAAAUUAGUCCGACGUAGUCGAGCUCCACAGACCCCAGCCACAGCUGGCCGUCCUUCUCGGCGACGUCGCUGAGCGUGACGCCCUUUGCCGCCGUGAGCUCCUCCACCUCCACACCGUCCGACCCGAGUCGGACGCCCACGAGGUGCUUCACGGGAGCCGCCGCCGAUGCCGUGGCGUCGAGGCGCGCCUUCUCCUGGUUGAGCGCCACCCAGUAGCCUCCCUUGGUGUCGCGCCUCACGUUGUCCGGGUACCCCGGCAGGUCCGCCAUGAGCUCGUACUGCCCGGUCUUGGGGCCCUUGAGCCAGUACCUGAACGCCUGACACGGCACUGUGUGCGCCACCACCACGUGCGUCCUGUCGCUGCUCACCGCCACGCCGUUCGGGUACGGCAGGCCAGCCCUGAGUACGGUCGCUUUCUUCGCCCGCACGUCGUACUUGAGCAGCCGCCCCGUCGCGUCGGCGUUCAUCAUGAUUUCCGUGUUGAACCGGCGCUGGUAGGUGGUGCUGCUGUCGGUGAAGUAGACGUCGCCGGUGGCCUGGUCGACGCCCAGCCCAUUCACGAAGUGGAACGGCACGCCGUCGUCGGCCUGGGUGGCCAGCACCUCCGCCUCGCCGCCAUCGGGACCGACCUUCAUCAGCCCGUGGUACGCGUCGGCAAUGUAGAGGUCGCCAGUCUUAGUGUAGAACUGGAGCCCCAGCGGGCGGCCGCACAUGCUCUCCGUCUCCUCCGACGGCACGACGGACGCUGUGCACAGCGGGAUCUUCCGGUAGUUGGGGCUGUGCGCGAACGUUGUCCAGCCGAGGGCGCUGCCGCCCCACUUGAGGACGCGGCCGUCGGAGACGCCGGCGUAGGGGCCCUGGCCCCGGCGGUCGAAAGCGAGGCUCUCCGCGCCGCUGACGCCGUUGGGAAGCGGGAGGUGGAAGCUCCAGAGCGUGGGCGUGGUCUUGAUCGGCUGGGCAGCGUAGAUCGACGACGGGAGCAGGAGUGCGAGGGCGACGGCGAGCAGAAGCGACGCCCCCACGUUGGUGCGCGCCAUCUUGAUCGCGUUCUUCGUCGAUGGAGCUGAGCAGCUUUGGUUCGAUGGGACGGCAAUCCGGUCGCGCACGCGCACUUUAUAGUCCAGGGCGUGCGGCGGUGCGUCAGACUCGGACGCGGCCGAGCGUCGCCGUCGGUGUUGAGGACUCGAGCUCUUCUCUUUCCUGUGUGGCUGUGUCCGACUCCAGCUCGGGUCCGACUCGCCCGGGGUUCUAGCGGUAGUGAACUUCGCCAGACAAAGAAGACAAGGAACGCGCGAGAGGAGAUUGGGCUGCAGAGAAAACAGCAGCACUGAAAUGGAGAAAGAUGAGAGCACAUUCAGUAGACUGUCAGAUGAAGACACCAUGAAUUUUAGGGAGAUUGAUGUAUAAGCGUAUAGCAUCGCCACUAGUUUAUGCCUCUUUGCCCAUGCUCGACUGAUUCCGAAGUUUUUUACUCUUUAUAUAUAUGUUCUUGGAUAGAUGUAGAACGAUGCUUUAUCACCAAGCAAGAGAGACUUUCACCUCCAAGCCCAUUCCGGCAUUCCGCGAUAGCGUCAGUGACAGCUAGUACAAUGCUAUCUAAUCCGAUUUACUGAAAGUCACCACGGAAGGAUUGGUGGAUGUAUAAAACUCACGACGAUAGAAAUAGAACGCAACUUUGAACAUCCAAGCGGCUCAACAUUAAAAAAUGGUUUGAUCAUAGUUUAGUUUUUAGACCUAACGUGAAGUAAAUGUAUUUAACUGCGUACCCAGAGAAUCAAAGAUUCAGAGCGCACGAACAGCAGCUGCAGCCAUGGAGCAAUCCAUCGCCUGGUCCACCUCGCCUCUGCUCCUCCUCUGCACCCUGCUCUCACUUGUUGCCUCGCUCCUCUUCUUGCUUCACCACGCCCAUGGCCGCAAGAACCCAACGCGAGCAUGCAAGGGGAAGCUCCCUCCCGGGCCACCGACGCUGGUCUUCCUCACCAAGUUCUUGGUGCUCCGGCGAUCGAUCUUUGACCUUGGCUCGCUCCUCCGGGAGCUGCACGCGCGCCACGGCCCCGUCAUCUCCAUCCGCCUCUUCCGCACGCUGGUCUUCGUCGCCGACCGCCGGCUAGCGCACCGCGUCCUGGUACAGGACGGCGCCACCUUCGCCGACCGCCCGCCCCUCUUCGAUCCGGGACGCCUCUUCACCGCCGGGGAGCGCGACAUCAGCACCUCGCCCUACGGGCCCUACUGGCGCCUCGUCCGCCGCAACCUCGCCGCUGAGGCGCUGCACCCCGCCCGCGUCAGCCUCUACGCGCCGGCGAGGCGGGCAGCGCUGGACGUGCUCGUGGCCGAGCUCCUCCGCGCGCGCGGCGGCGACAGCUCGAGCGCCGUCCAGGUGAGGCCGGCGUUCCGGCGCGCCCUGUUCUAGAUGCUCGUGUACAUGAGCCUCGGCGCCAGGCUCGGGGAGGAGGUGCUCGACGAGGUCCAGGACAUCCAGAUGCAAAUCCUCCGCUCCAUCACCAGCUUUCCCAUCUUCUCCUUCUUCCCGGCGGUCACCAAGAAGCUCUUCCGCAGACGGUGGGAGUCGUACGUCGCUGUGCGUCGCAGGCAGGACGAGAUCUUUCUCCCGCUCAUCCAAGCCAGGCGCGGCGACGACCCGCCGUGCUACGCGGACUCCGUCCUCGCGCUGCGCGUGGCCGACGAAGGCAACCGCCCGCUCACGGACGCCGAGGUGGUCAGCCUCUGCUCCGAGUUCCUGAACGCCGGCACGGACACGACGCUGACGCUGCUGGAGUGGAUCAUGGCGGAGCUGGUCAACCACCCCGAUGUCCAAGCCAAGGUGCACGACCGGAGCUCAACGACGGCGACCUUGAACAGGCGCGGUACCUGAAGGCCGUGGUGCUGGAGGGCCUUCGCCUGCACCCGCCGGCGCACUUCCUUCUCCCGCACGGCGUGCAGAGCGACGCGGAGAUCGCCGGAUACGCGG
This 7757-nucleotide long non-coding RNA is filed under the name Setaria italica (foxtail millet). RNAcentral's name for it is "long non-coding RNA (SITA_LNC007201)". Lineage: Eukaryota; Viridiplantae; Streptophyta; Magnoliopsida; Poales; Poaceae. The record is from RNAcentral.